This 251-nucleotide ribosomal RNA is filed under the name uncultured prokaryote. Its description in RNAcentral is "partial 16S ribosomal RNA". It matches the Rfam family "Bacterial small subunit ribosomal RNA", at positions 524 to 774 of the family's 1533-position model. The record is from RNAcentral.
UACGGAGGAUGCAAGCGUUAUCCGGAUUUAUUGGGUUUAAAGGGUGCGCAGGUUGUUUGAUAAGUCAGUGGUGAAAGUCUGUCGCUUAACGGUAGGAUUGCCAUUGAUACUGUUGGACUUGAAUAUGGAUGAGGUAGGCGGAAUGUGUAGUGUAGCGAUGAAAUGCAUAGAUAUUACACAGAACACCGAUUGCGAAGGCAGCUUACUAAUCCAUCAUUGACGCUGAGGCACGAAAGCGUGGGGAUCAAACA